RNAcentral lists this long non-coding RNA (385 nucleotides) under Brassica napus (rape). Its description in RNAcentral is "long non-coding RNA (BNAP_LNC019400)". Lineage: Eukaryota; Viridiplantae; Streptophyta; Magnoliopsida; Brassicales; Brassicaceae. The record is from RNAcentral.
GAGGAUGAUUUUCAAGAGAUGAAGCUUUACCUUUUUAUAGGUGGAGAUUCAUUGCUAGGAAAAAGGGAUAAAGCGAGAUACAAUGAAUGAGAAAUCAUGGAAGCAUUUAUGAAGGUUGUUACGUAACGCUUCGGAAGAUUACAACAAAAGAUGAAAAGACACAAUUAAAGCUUGACACAUAGGUUUUUCACGUCGAUUUGAUUCACUCAAUUUAUCAUAUCUCCUUCAUAGCUGGUGUAGUUCGAAGAGGACACGAGCCUUAAUUUUUGGUCACGCCAUCGGGGAAGACAACCUCUCUCCGUUGGGCCAAUUAAAUGUUUAGAAGCCCAUUAACAUGUGAACAAACGAAACAUAACUCGAUUAAAUGAAACGCAGAGUUUUUCUU